This 439-nucleotide ribosomal RNA is filed under the name uncultured bacterium. RNAcentral describes it as "partial 16S ribosomal RNA". It matches the Rfam family "Bacterial small subunit ribosomal RNA", at positions 339 to 795 of the family's 1533-position model. The record is from RNAcentral.
CUACGGGAGGCUGCAGUGGGGAAUAUUGCACAAUGGAGGAAACUCUGAUGCAGCAACGCCGCGUGGAGGAUGACACUUUUCGGAGCGUAAACUCCUUUUAUAUAGGAAGAAGAUGACGGUACUAUAUGAAUAAGCGCCGGCUAACUCCGGGCCAGCAGCCGCGGUAAUACGGAGGGCGCAAGCGUUACUCGGAAUCACUGGGCGUAAAGAGCGUGUAGGCGGAUUAAAAAGUCAGAAGUGAAAUCCUAUAGCUUAACUAUAGAACUGCUUCUGAAACUCUUAAUCUAGAAUGUGGGAGAGGUAGAUGGAAUUUCUGGUGUAGGGGUAAGAUCCGUAGAGAUCAGAAGGAAUACCGAUUGCGAAGGCGAUCUACUAGAACAUUAUUGACGCUGAGACGCGAAAGCGUGGGGAGCAAACAGGAUUAGAUACCCGAGUAGUC